This is a non-coding RNA of Bubalus bubalis (water buffalo), 562 nucleotides long. NCBI's taxonomy places the organism in Eukaryota, Metazoa, Chordata, Mammalia, Artiodactyla, Bovidae. The record is from the annotation of a RefSeq genome assembly.
ACUGAGCACAUUUGUGCAGGGGAACCCAUGCCUCAUGCCACUCUCCAGCCUGCUCUGGAUGUUCCUGGCCUUCACCUUCUCUGGAUCCAGUGUAGCCCAUAAAAUUAUUCAAGACCAAGCAGGCAUAUCCAGUCGAGUUGGGGAGUCAGUUACCCUGAACUGUCGGUAUGAAACAAGUCGGAGCAACAACAUUUUACAAGUUGUUAUUGUAACAACAAGUCACAACAUUUUUUGGUACAAGCAACGUCCCAGUGGAAAGAUGAUUUUCCUUACAAGGGAUGGCCAUUACUCUAUAAAUUUUGAGAGAUCAGGUAAAUCAUCCAGCCUCACCAUUUCAAACUUACAAUUGGAAGAUUCUGCAAAGUACUUCUGUGCUGUCUGGGAACUCACAGUGUUUGAAGUAAUAGGAAAAGCUGAACAAAAACCCUCCAAGCUUGAUAAGAGAAAGCCUCUCUGCUGUAGGACCCUAGCUGAAAUACACACCUGGAUCUCCCAGACAAUAAAUGGUGGUCCUGUGGUUGCUUCAUCUGUGGUCUGGAUCAGAAGAUUUAAUUCUAAAUAA